This 2173-nucleotide unclassified non-coding RNA is filed under the name Leishmania donovani. Its description in RNAcentral is "gene:LdHU3.35.5820(CDS-product:pre-RNA_processing _PIH1/Nop17_putative)". Lineage: Eukaryota; Euglenozoa; Kinetoplastea; Trypanosomatida; Trypanosomatidae. The record is from RNAcentral.
AGUCGCUACCGGGCAGUGUGCAUCAGGGAACAUCCUCUCUCGUUUUUCUCUUUAUUAUUAUUAUUAUUUUUUUCGGUUCCGCCGCAACCCCCACCCCCUCAGCACACAUAAAUACAAAGGCACAGCCGCGACUGAAGUGGACGGUGCAAGUCGCACCGACCAUGGACCCCAACGAUGCAGCGCAGCAUCUGCUGCAAAACGAAAAGUUCCUGGAACUCUUUCAGCGAGCACUCUGCAGCGGCGGUGGCAACGGCAAUGGUGGAGGCAUUAGUGACAUGCUCCAGUCUAUGCCCGAGGAGGGCGAUCCAAAGCGAGAGGAGUGGCUGCGCACUCUGCAGUCGCGCCUGCAGGAGGAAGCGACCAAGGAGGCAAAAGAGGACUUGGAGCAGGUGCACAGCGACGAGCAUGGUCAGUGGAUGUUUGUCUUGCCGGACCCAGGGUUCUGUAUCAAGACAAACGUUGCCGGUGGCGCGAAGGUGUUCAUUAACGUGUGCCAGCACGCACGCAUCGGAGAGCCAGUGCCUAUGGCAGCAGAGAAUGGAAACGCUGGUCAGGGUGACACCGCGGAGAUGCGCUACCGCAUCCCGAUCAGCUGCGGCCAAGCGCGGCCCGGCCAGGACAAGGGUGGAAAACCCUGCAAGGUGUACGAUGUCAUCGUCAACCCGUCGACAAUGCAGCGUUGCGGCAAGGAUCACGAGUUCCGCCGCUUUGUGGCCGCACUGUGCAUGCAAUGGAUUAAGCAGAAAUCUGAGCCCACCCUGAACGCCGACGAGUUCCGAAACCUCAACUUUAAGUGUAAAGGCAAGCUUGAGCCGCAGCGCAUUCGUCUCUCGACGCAGCCGAAGGAGCGCAACGCGAUGGGGGACGAGAUCCGCCUGCCGACCGCCGCGGGUAGCGCCACAGCGCCGUCACAGGUGACCGGGUCGCGGGGAAACGGCAAGCUAGUUCAGGAGGUGCUUGCACCCACUAACACCAACGCGGACCCUUCUGCAAGUUCGACGGAUGCGGCGACACCCGGUACCGCUGCAUUGAAGCCGGAGCCAGCCGUCAAGAGUGUGACCGCUGAGGGCGUGUACAGUUGGGCACUGCACAAGAGGCCCACGUCGAACCCGUACUUCAAGGAGAAUGUGCCUGCUCACUUCGCCAUCACGCUUUACCUGCCAGGAGUCCAAACAAUCCGCGAGGUCGACGUCCGCAUCGGCCACCGACGAGUGGAUUGCUACUACAUUGACGAGGUGACCGACGGCGAGGAGCGCGACGAGGAGGCGGCGGCAUCAGCGGAGAGUGGUGAGCGUGGGCCGGCUUCGGCCAACAAAGGGUCUGGUGCCUCGCCGUUUCUCUCUUUGACCCUUGACUACCCCGUUUCCGAGGACGUGGUGGAGGCCAAGUACGUGCGGAAAACGUCACUGCUGAAGCUGAAGCUAGCGGUGCAGCUGCCCGACGAGACGCAGGCUCCUGCCACUCGCCCGGACCGCGACGUGACAGAGGUCGAGAUGGAGGAGCAGCAGCGCGAACAAGCGGCGCGCGAAGAAGAAUGGGCCGCCGCCAAGGCGAGAAAUGAGCGUCGACAGCAGGAGGAGGCCGCGGUGAUGGCAGAGCGGCGUAGCUACAUUGAAAAUUUGUCCGCUGUGAAAUCGGGCGACAUCCCGCCCAUCAUUCGGGAUGAGGUGGAUCAGAUGCCGCCCGAGCAGCUGCCGGGCAUGCUUUACCGAUUGGAGAGGCGUAUGCGCAAAGGUGACUCCAUCGAUAUGCUGCUGGAAAAGCUGCCGGAGCCGAUGCUGAACGCGCUGGUCGACUACAUUUGCGAGAAACUGUCGCUGGAACCGCGUCAGCGUAAGGCGUCUGCAGCGAAAGGAGAGCACCACACAGCAUCCUCAUCACCUUCACAUGAAGGGAAUCCCACCUCUGCGGUCUCGCCGUUGGCGGCCAAAGCUGCUGAAGCUGAAGACUCGAACAAGCGGCCGUCAACUGAGAGCCAGCCGGCAAUGCAAGUAUUUCACGCGACGACGCAGUCCGAGGCGCUCUUCGGCGUUCAACUUCACAACCGGUACCUCUUUGCACUUGAUUGAUCGACAAGGCGCUGGCGAGGGAGAGGGGGAGAGCACAGUAGCCCUUUCCCUCUCUGUUUGCUUUCCUGCCGGGUGCGCUUGGCGGAGGCCUUUCCUUGUCGUUC